AUACGUAGGUGGCGAGCGUUGUCCGGAAUUACUGGGCGUAAAGGAUGCGUAGGUGGAUAUUUAAGUGGGAUGUGAAAUCCCCGGGCUCAACCCGGGAACUGCAUUCCAAACUGGGUAUCUAGAGUGCAGGAGAGGAAAGCGGAAUUCCUAGUGUAGCGGUGAAAUGCGUAGAUAUUAGGAGGAACACCAGUGGCGAAGGCGGCUUUCUGUACUGUAACUGACACUGAGGCAUGAAAGCGUGGGUAGCAAACAGGAUUAGAUACCCUGGUAGUCCACGCCGUAAACGAUGGGUACUAGGUGUAGGAGGUAUCGACCCCUUCUGUGCCGUCGUUAACACAAUAAGUACCCCGCCUGGGGAGUACGGUCGCAAGACUAAAACUCAAAGGAAUUGACGGGG
This 397-nucleotide ribosomal RNA is filed under the name uncultured bacterium. RNAcentral describes it as "partial 16S ribosomal RNA". It matches the Rfam family "Bacterial small subunit ribosomal RNA", at positions 523 to 918 of the family's 1533-position model. The record is from RNAcentral.